ACGGGGGGAACGCGAAGAACCUUACCUGGGUUUGACAUCCUGGGAAUCUUGUAGAGAUACGAGAGUCCCUUCGGGAGCACAGAACCAGGUGUGCCAUGGCGUUGUUCAGCUGGUGUCGUGAGAUGUUUGGUUAAUUCCAGCAAGGAGGCCAACCCUUAUCUUUAGUUGCCAGCACAUAAUGGUGGCAACUCUAAAGAGACUGCCCCGGUCAACGGGGAGGAAGGUGGGGAGGACGUCAAGUCCUCAUGGCCCUUAUGUCCAGGGCUACACACGUGUUCCAAUGGUAAGUACAGAAGGCAGUGAACCGGGGACGGGGAGCCAAUCCUUAAAGGUAAUCUCAGUCCGGAUUGCAGUCUGCAACUCGACUCCAUGAAGUUGGAAUCGCUAGUAAUC
RNAcentral lists this ribosomal RNA (393 nucleotides) under uncultured bacterium. RNAcentral's name for it is "bacterial SSU rRNA". It matches the Rfam family "Bacterial small subunit ribosomal RNA", at positions 951 to 1343 of the family's 1533-position model. The record is from RNAcentral.